Molecule: ribosomal RNA, 382 nt
Filed under: uncultured eukaryote
Lineage: Eukaryota
Description: partial 18S ribosomal RNA
Rfam family: Eukaryotic small subunit ribosomal RNA
Source: RNAcentral
UGUAAGCGUAUACCAAAGUUGUUGCAGUUAAAACGCUCGUAGUCGGAAUUUGGCAGUUCCGGAUGUGUGCACGUCGUGUGCGCACUUCGCGGGGAUUGCUUUUGUGGUCUUGCGUAGGAUGAGGCACUUUUAUUAGUGACCGUCCUCACGCAACCACUUUUUACUGUGAGAAAAUCAGAGUGCUCAAAGCAGGCAUUUGCCGUGAAUGUAUUAGCAUGGAAUAAUAGAAUAGGACUUGGUUCUAUUUUGUUGGUUUGUUGGGACUGAGUAAUGAUUAAGAGGGACAGUUGGGGGCAUUUGUAUUUCGGUGCUAGAGGUGAAAUUCUUAGAUUACCGAAAGACAAACUGCUGCGAAAGCGUCUGCCAAGGAUGUUUUCAUUGA